Molecule: transfer RNA, 82 nt
Filed under: Nematostella vectensis (starlet sea anemone)
Lineage: Eukaryota; Metazoa; Cnidaria; Anthozoa; Actiniaria; Edwardsiidae
Rfam family: tRNA
About the family: Transfer RNA (tRNA) molecules are approximately 80 nucleotides in length. Their secondary structure includes four short double-helical elements and three loops (D, anti-codon, and T loops).
Source: Rfam by way of RNAcentral
GUUGGGGAGGCCGAAUAGUUAAGGCGUUGGAAUAGAAAUCCAAUGGGAUCUUCCCGCGCAGGUUCGAAUCCUGCUCGCAACG